CCUACGGGAGGCAGCAGUGGGGGAUAUUGCACAAUGGGGGGAACCCUGAUGCAGCGACGCCGCGUGGGUGAAGAAGCGCCUCGGCGCGUAAAGCCCUGUCAGCAGGGAAGAAAAUGACGGUACCUGAAGACGAAGCCCCGGCUAACUCCGUGCCAGCAGCCGCGGUAAUACGUGGGGGGCAAGCGUUAUCCGGAUUUACUGGGUGUAAAGGGGGCGCAGGCGGCGAUGCAAGCCAGGAGUGAAAGCCCGGGGCCAAACCGCGGGACUGCUCUUGGAACGGCGUGUUUGGAGUGGAGGAGGGGCAGGCGGAAUUCCGGGGGUAGCGGUGAAUGCGUAGAGAUCAGGAGGAACACCGGUGGCGAAGGCGGCCUGCUGGACUGCAACUGACGCUGAGGCCCGAAAGCGUGGGGAGCAAACAGGAGUAGAUACCCUUGUAGUC
RNAcentral lists this ribosomal RNA (439 nucleotides) under uncultured bacterium. RNAcentral's name for it is "partial 16S ribosomal RNA". It matches the Rfam family "Bacterial small subunit ribosomal RNA", at positions 338 to 795 of the family's 1533-position model. The record is from RNAcentral.